GGUUAAGUUAGAAAGGGCGCACGGUGGAUGCCUUGGCACUAGGAGCCGAUGAAGGACGGGACGAACACCGAUAUGCUUCGGGGAGCUGUAAGCAAGCUUUGAUCCGGAGAUUUCCGAAUGGGGAAACCCACCACUCGUAAUGGAGUGGUAUCCAUAUCUGAAUACAUAGGAUAUGAGAAGGCAGACCCGGGGAACUGAAACAUCUAAGUACCCGGAGGAAGAGAAAGCAAAUGCGAUUCCCUGAGUAGCGGCGAGCGAAACGGGACCAGCCCAAACCAAGAGGCUUGCCUCUUGGGGUUGUAGGACACUCUGUACGGAGUUACAAAGGAACGAGGUAGAUGAAGAGGUCUGGAAAGGCCCGCCAUAGAAGGUAACAGCCCUGUAGUCAAAACUUCGUUCUCUCCUGAGUGGAUCCUGAGUACGGCGGAACACGUGAAAUUCCGUCGGAAUCCGGGAGGACCAUCUCCCAAGGCUAAAUACUCCCUAGUGACCGAUAGUGAACCAGUACCGUGAGGGAAAGGUGAAAAGCACCCCGGAAGGGGAGUGAAAGAGAUCCUGAAACCGUGUGCCUACAAGUAGUCAGAGCCCGUUAAUGGGUGAUGGCGUGCCUUUUGUAGAAUGAACCGGCGAGUUACGAUCCCGUGCAAGGUUAAGCAGAAGAUGCGGAGCCGCAGCGAAAGCGAGUCUGAAUAGGGCGAAUUGAGUACGUGGUCGUAGACCCGAAACCAGGUGAUCUACCCAUGUCCAGGGUGAAGUUCAGGUAACACUGAAUGGAGGCCCGAACCCACGCACGUUGAAAAGUGCGGGGAUGAGGUGUGGGUAGGGGUGAAAUGCCAAUCGAACCUGGAGAUAGCUGGUUCUCUCCGAAAUAGCUUUAGGGCUAGCCUCAAGGUAAGAGUCUCGGAGGUAGAGCACUGAUUGGACUAGGGGCCCCUACCGGGUUACCGAAUUCAGUCAAACUCCGAAUGCCGAUGACUUAUCCUUGGGAGUCAGACUGCGAGUGAUAAGAUCCGUAGUCGAAAGGGAAACAGCCCAGACCGCCAGCUAAGGUCCCAAAGUAUACGUUAAGUGGAAAAGGAUGUGGAGUUGCUUAGACAACCAGGAUGUUGGCUUAGAAGCAGCCACCAUUUAAAGAGUGCGUAAUAGCUCACUGGUCGAGUGACUCUGCGCCGAAAAUGUACCGGGGCUAAACGUAUCACCGAAGCUGCGGACUGUUCUUCGAACAGUGGUAGGAGAGCGUUCUAAGGGCUGUGAAGCAAGACCGGAAGGACUUGUGGAGCGCUUAGAAGUGAGAAUGCCGGUAUGAGUAGCGAAAGAGGGGUGAGAAUCCCCUCCACCGAAUGCCUAAGGUUUCCUGAGGAAGGCUCGUCCGCUCAGGGUUAGUCGGGACCUAAGCCGAGGCCGAAAGGCGUAGGCGAUGGAUAACAGGUUGAUAUUCCUGUACCACCUCCUCACCAUUUGAGCAAUGGGGGGACGCAGGAGGAUAGGGUAAGCGCGGUAUUGGAUAUCCGCGUCCAAGCAGUUAGGCUGGGAAAUAGGCAAAUCCGUUUCCCGUGAAGGCUGAGCUGUGAUGGCGAGCGAAUUAUAGUAGCGAAGUUCCUGAUUCCACACUGCCAAGAAAAGCCUCUAGCGAGGUGAGAGGUGCCCGUACCGCAAACCGACACAGGUAGGCGAGGAGAGAAUCCUAAGGUGAUCGAGAGAACUCUCGUUAAGGAACUCGGCAAAAUGACCCCGUAACUUCGGGAGAAGGGGUGCUCUGUUAGGGUGCAAGCCCGAGAGAGCCGCAGUGAAUAGGCCCAGGCGACUGUUUAGCAAAAACACAGGUCUCUGCGAAGCCGUAAGGCGAAGUAUAGGGGCUGACGCCUGCCCGGUGCUGGAAGGUUAAGAGGAGCGCUUAGCGUAAGCGAAGGUGCGAAUUGAAGCCCCAGUAAACGGCGGCCGUAACUAUAACGGUCCUAAGGUAGCGAAAUUCCUUGUCGGGUAAGUUCCGACCCGCACGAAAGGCGCAACGAUCUGGGCACUGUCUCAACGAGAGACUCGGUGAAAUUAUAGUACCUGUGAAGAUGCAGGUUACCCGCGACAGGACGGAAAGACCCCGUGGAGCUUUACUGCAGCCUGAUAUUGAAUGUUGGUACAGCUUGUACAGGAUAGGUAGGAGCCUUGGAAACCGGAGCGCCAGCUUCGGUGGAGGCAUCGGUGGGAUACUACCCUGGCUGUAUUGACCUUCUAACCCGCCGCCCUUAUCGGGCGGGGAGACAGUGUCAGGUGGGCAGUUUGACUGGGGCGGUCGCCUCUAAAAGGUAACGGAGGCGCCCAAAGGUUCCCUCAGAAUGGUUGGAAAUCAUUCGCAGAGUGUAAAGGCACAAGGGAGCUUGACUGCGAGACCUACAAGUCGAGCAGGGACGAAAGUCGGGCUUAGUGAUCCGGUGGUUCCGCAUGGAAGGGCCAUCGCUCAACGGAUAAAAGCUACCCCGGGGAUAACAGGCUUAUCUCCCCCAAGAGUCCACAUCGACGGGGAGGUUUGGCACCUCGAUGUCGGCUCAUCGCAUCCUGGGGCUGUAGUCGGUCCCAAGGGUUGGGCUGUUCGCCCAUUAAAGCGGUACGCGAGCUGGGUUCAGAACGUCGUGAGACAGUUCGGUCCCUAUCCGUCGCGGGCGCAGGAAAUUUGAGAGGAGCUGUCCUUAGUACGAGAGGACCGGGAUGGACGCACCGCUGGUGUACCAGUUGUUCUGCCAAGGGCAUCGCUGGGUAGCUAUGUGCGGACGGGAUAAGUGCUGAAAGCAUCUAAGCAUGAAGCCCCCCUCAAGAUGAGAUUUCCCAUUCCGCAAGGAAGUAAGAUCCCUGAAAGAUGAUCAGGUUGAUAGGUCUGAGGUGGAAGUGUGGCGACACAUGGAGCUGACAGAUACUAAUCGAUCGAGGACUUAACCAA
Molecule: ribosomal RNA, 2929 nt
Filed under: Bacillus velezensis
Lineage: Bacteria; Bacillati; Bacillota; Bacilli; Caryophanales; Bacillaceae
Description: 23S ribosomal RNA
Rfam family: Bacterial large subunit ribosomal RNA
Source: RNAcentral